UACGAAGGGGACUAGCGUUGUUCGGAAUUACUGGGCGUAAAGCGCACGUAGGCGGAUUUGUUAGUCAGGGGUGAAAUCCCGGGGCUCAACCUCGGAACUGCCUUUGAUACUGCAAGUCUCGAGUCCGAUAGAGGUGGGUGGAAUUCCUAGUGUAGAGGUGAAAUUCGUAGAUAUUCGGAAGAACACCAGUGGCGAAGGCGGCUCACUGGACUGGUAUUGACGCUGAGGUGCGAAAGCGUGGGGAGCAAACAGG
RNAcentral lists this ribosomal RNA (253 nucleotides) under uncultured bacterium. Its description in RNAcentral is "partial 16S ribosomal RNA". It matches the Rfam family "Bacterial small subunit ribosomal RNA", at positions 524 to 776 of the family's 1533-position model. The record is from RNAcentral.